AACGAACGCUGGCGGCAUGCCUAACACAUGCAAGUCGAACGAGACCUUCGGGUCUAGUGGCGCACGGGUGCGUAACGCGUGGGAACCUGCCCUUAGGUUCGGAAUAACUCCCCGAAAGGGUGGCUAAUACCGGUUAAUGUCUUCGGACCAAAGAUUUAUCGCCUUUGGAUGGGCCCGCGUUGGAUUAGCUAGUUGGUAGGGUAAAAGCCUACCAAGGCGACGAUCCAUAGCUGGUCUGAGAGGAUGAUCAGCCACACUGGGACUGAGACACGGCCCAGACUCCUACGGGAGGCAGCAGUGGGGAAUAUUGGACAAUGGGCGAAAGCCUGAUCCAGCAAUGCCGCGUGAGUGAUGAAGGCCUUAGGGUUGUAAAGCUCUUUUACCCGGGAUGAUAAUGACAGUACCGGGAGAAUAAGCUCCGGCUAACUCCGUG
Molecule: ribosomal RNA, 433 nt
Filed under: uncultured bacterium
Lineage: Bacteria
Description: partial 16S ribosomal RNA
Rfam family: Bacterial small subunit ribosomal RNA
Source: RNAcentral